GUUUCAGCCGCCACCAAUGAUUGAUGUAGCUUACCCUUUGCCAAAUUGAUGAGAUGAUGGCACUCCUCUUCAGACAAAAAUCCCUUGUAUAAGAAAGCCCUGGGUUUGGAUGAAAGCUUAAUUACACGGGUGGGAUCGAUUGUAAUGGCGGAACCACCCGUUUUCAUCCCAAUAACAGAUUGUUCCAUGUUCUUGUUGUCUAAGAGCAAUUUCGGCAAGC
RNAcentral lists this unclassified non-coding RNA (220 nucleotides) under Hevea brasiliensis (rubber tree). The record is from RNAcentral. Lineage: Eukaryota; Viridiplantae; Streptophyta; Magnoliopsida; Malpighiales; Euphorbiaceae.